GCUUACGGCCCACACCGGCCUGAGUACGCUGAUCUCGCCUGAUCUCGGAAGCUAAGCAGGGUCGGGCCUCUGGUUAGUACUUGGAUGGGAGACCCGCCUGGGAAUACCAGGUGCUGUAAGCU
Molecule: ribosomal RNA, 122 nt
Filed under: Oncorhynchus mykiss (rainbow trout)
Lineage: Eukaryota; Metazoa; Chordata; Actinopteri; Salmoniformes; Salmonidae
Source: RNAcentral